RNAcentral lists this unclassified non-coding RNA (376 nucleotides) under uncultured bacterium. RNAcentral describes it as "contains 16S-23S intergenic spacer region". The record is from RNAcentral.
UCCGGCUUAUCACCGGCAGUCCCUUUAGAGUGCCCAACUAAAUGAUGGCAACUAAAGGCGAGGGUUGCGCUCGUUGCGGGACUUAACCCAACAUCUCACGACACGAGCUGACGACAGCCAUGCACCACCUGUGAAGGUGCCCCGAAGGGAGACCGUGUUUCCACGGCUGUCACCUACAUGUCAAGCCCAGGUAAGGUUCUUCGCGUUGCUUCGAAUUAAGCCGCAUGCUCCGCCGCUUGUGCGGGCCCCCGUCAAUUUCUUUGAGUUUUAACCUUGCGGCCGUACUCCCCAGGCGGAUGACUUCACGCGUUAGCUGCGUUACUAAAGGAUUUAACUCCUCCAACAACUAGUCAUCAUCGUUUAGGGCGUGGACUAC